Molecule: ribosomal RNA, 742 nt
Filed under: uncultured bacterium
Lineage: Bacteria
Description: bacterial SSU rRNA
Rfam family: Bacterial small subunit ribosomal RNA
Source: RNAcentral
CGCGAAAGUCACCUUCGGGUGGCGAGUAGAGCGGCGCACGGGUGAGUAACACGUGGGUAAUCUACCUUGGAGUCUGGGAUAACCCGGGGAAACCCGGGCUAAUACCGGAUACGGCCUUACGGUCCACGGACCGUUUGGCGAAAGCGGGCCACUGCUUGCAUGCUCGCGCUCUCUGAUGAGCCCGCGGCGCAUUAGCUUGUUGGUGAGGUAAUGGCUCACCAAGGCUUUGAUGCGUAGCUGGUCUGAGAGGAUGGUCAGCCACACUGGAACUGAGACACGGUCCAGACUCCUACGGGAGGCAGCAGUGGGGAAUUUUGGUCAAUGGGCGAAAGCCUGAACCAGCAACGCCGCGUGCAGGAUGAAGGCCCUCGGGUCGUAAACUGCUGUCAGGAGGGAAGAACGGCGGUCCGGUCAAUACCCGGGCCGCGUGACGGUACCUCCAAAGGAAGCACCGGCUAACUCCGUGCCAGCAGCCGCGGUAAUACGGAGGGUGCAAGCGUUGUUCGGAAUUACUGGGCGUAAAGCGCGUGUAGGCGGCUUGGUAAGUCGGAUGUGAAAGCCCGGAGCUCAACUCCGGAACGGCAUCCGAAACUGCCUCGCUAGAGUCCCGGAGAGGAAGGCAGAAUUCCCAGUGUAGGGGUGAAAUCCGUAGAUAUUGGGAGGAAUACCAGUGGCGAAGGCGGCCUUCUGGACGGUGACUGACGCUGAGACGCGAAAGCGUGGGGAGCAAACAGGAUUAGAU